CAUCCGGUCGAUCCUGCCGGAAUCCGACGCUCUCCCCAAGGACACCAGCCAUGCAUGCCCGCACACCCGGGAAGCGGCGGACGGCUCAGGACAACGGUUGCACCCCCCGCGGCGGUCCCUGCUAGCCGGACACCGCUGGCAACCCGGCGCCAAGACGUGCGCGCAAGUGCGGACGCCCGCGGGCGAGCAGCGUGACGCAGCGACGGCCCGCCCGGGCUUCCGGGGCAUCACCCGGUCGGCGCGGUCGCGGCGCGCCGAGGGCCCGACGCCUGGCGGAGAAUCAGGGUUCGACUA
Molecule: ribosomal RNA, 294 nt
Filed under: Giardia duodenalis
Lineage: Eukaryota; Fornicata; Diplomonadida; Hexamitidae
Description: Giardia intestinalis partial 18S ribosomal RNA
Rfam family: Eukaryotic small subunit ribosomal RNA
Source: RNAcentral